UAGUCAGCUCUGGCUGAAGCAGCGGAGAGAGGUGUUUGGCUGAAGAGGAGAGAAAUCACCUCUGGCUCCACCACCACCACCACAGCUAUGGCUACUGCUGCUGCUGUCACUUUAAGACUGUUACUGAUUAGACGCCGAAGAAUGUGACUGGAAAGACAGAGAGAGAGAGAGAGAGAGAGAGAGAGAGGGGACGAAAGAGAGCGAGAGACUUAGAGACAGAGCGUUUCAGGGGCUGGCACUCCUACGGAGAAUGCCGGUAAUUGAGCCGAGCUGAGUGGAGCACGUCUUUUAUUUUCCAGCAGUGAGUUAGCAGUAGUUCCGGAGCAAUGACAGCCUGUGAAUCUGAUCUCUCUUGCUGUCUCUCUCCCUCUCCCGCUCCCUUUAUCCAUUUGCGGCUCCAGAAGAGGCUGGACUUGGGGGGGCAGUCGGAGGAGACCCGGCACAUGCACAGGCAACACCGUUCAGCCAUCAGGAAAUACUCCUUUCACCCAGACUGAGUCCAGAUUGUUCACAAGGUCCAGUUCACUUCACAAACAAUCACUUCAAAUUCUUAAUGGCCGAAGGCUGCGAAGGCGAGGAAGACUUUGAUGAAGACUGGAUGAUGAAGACAUUGCCGGGUGGUGAAGCUCCUGUGCCAU
Long non-coding RNA from Pygocentrus nattereri (red-bellied piranha), 638 nucleotides. RefSeq lists it as uncharacterized. The transcript is spliced from 3 exons. The record is from RefSeq and is a predicted model, not a curated record. Lineage: Eukaryota; Metazoa; Chordata; Actinopteri; Characiformes; Serrasalmidae.